CCUANGGGAGGCAGCAGUGAGGAAUUUUGCGCAAUGGGGGAAACCCUGACGCAGCAACGCCGCGUGAGUGAUGAAGGCCUUCGGGUCGUAAAGCUCUGUCAAGUGGGAAGAACCUGAUUAAUGAUAAUACCAUUAAUCAUUGACGGUACCACUGAAGGAAGCACCGGCUAACUCCGUGCCAGCAGCCGCGGUAAUACGGAGGGUGCAAGCGUUAUUCGGAAUCAUUGGGCGUAAAGGGCGCGUAGGCGGUUUUUUAAGUCAGAUGUGAAAGCCCGGGGCUUAACCCCGGAAGUGCAUUUGAAGCUAAAAGACUUGAGUAUGGGAGAGGGAAGUGGAAUUCCUGGGGUAGAUGUGAAAUUCGUAGAUAGCAGGAGGAACACCGGUGGCGAAGGCGACUUCCUGGACCAAUACUGACGCUGAGGCGCGAAGGCGUGGGUAGCAAACAGGAUUAGAUACCCCUNUAGUC
This 466-nucleotide ribosomal RNA is filed under the name uncultured bacterium. RNAcentral describes it as "bacterial SSU rRNA". It matches the Rfam family "Bacterial small subunit ribosomal RNA", at positions 338 to 795 of the family's 1533-position model. The record is from RNAcentral.